GCAGCCGCGGUAAUACGUAGGUGACAAGCGUUAUCCGGAUUUACUGGGCGUAAAGGGAGCGUAGGCGGAUAAUUAAGUGGGAUGUGAAAUACCCGGGCUUAACCUGGGUGCUGCAUUCCAAACUGAUUAUCUAGAGUGCAGGAGAGGAGAGUGGAAUUCCUAGUGUAGCGGUGAAAUGCGUAGAGAUUAGGAAGAACACCAGUGGCGAAGGCGACUCUCUGGACUGUAACUGACGCUGAGGCUCGAAAGCGUGGGGAGCAAACAGGAUUAGAUACCCC
This 278-nucleotide ribosomal RNA is filed under the name uncultured Alistipes sp. Its description in RNAcentral is "partial 16S ribosomal RNA". It matches the Rfam family "Bacterial small subunit ribosomal RNA", at positions 511 to 788 of the family's 1533-position model. The record is from RNAcentral. Lineage: Bacteria; Pseudomonadati; Bacteroidota; Bacteroidia; Bacteroidales; Rikenellaceae.